Molecule: transfer RNA, 73 nt
Filed under: Jatropha curcas
Lineage: Eukaryota; Viridiplantae; Streptophyta; Magnoliopsida; Malpighiales; Euphorbiaceae
Rfam family: tRNA
About the family: Transfer RNA (tRNA) molecules are approximately 80 nucleotides in length. Their secondary structure includes four short double-helical elements and three loops (D, anti-codon, and T loops). Further hydrogen bonds mediate the characteristic L-shaped molecular structure. tRNAs have two regions of fundamental functional importance: the anti-codon, which is responsible for specific mRNA codon recognition, and the 3' end, to which the tRNAs corresponding amino acid is attached (by aminoacyl-tRNA synthetases). tRNAs cope with the degeneracy of the genetic code in two manners: having more than one tRNA (with a specific anti-codon) for a particular amino acid; and 'wobble' base-pairing, i.e. permitting non-standard base-pairing at the 3rd anti-codon position.
Source: Rfam by way of RNAcentral
AGCCUAUUAGCUCAAAUGGUUAGAGCAUUGUGCAAUAGAACAAAAGGUGUGGGUUCAAUUCCUACAUAGGCUU